CUGGCUGCCAGGAGACCACCCCAAACAUGGAGACUCAGGGGAACAAGAGGCAGAGCCUCCUUUCUCUAAAGGUCAACUCUAAAUCAAUGAGUAGACUUACAAGGAGGGCACACACCAGUGUUAGAGUUUACUCUGCCAGCUUUGGGCCAGCAGCUUUGGCUCGCAGUUCCCAUCUAAUCCUCACAAUCUUGUGGACAGAUAAUCAUUCUUUUCUCUCUUUCUUUUUUAAAUAUUUAUUUUUUAGUUGUAGUUGGACACAAUGCCAUUAUUUUAUUUAUUUAUCUUUAUGUGGUGCUGAGGAUCGAACCCAGGGCCUUGCACGUGCUAGGCAUGCGCUCUACUGCUGAGUCACAACCUCAGCCCUCAUUAUUUUCUUUUUAAGUGAUGAGAAAGAAUGAGGUGGAGAAAGGCUUGACCAAGAUCACACAGUUUUAAGAGAAGAUCUGGGAUGAGAACACUAGUGUGUUUCACUCUUGCUAGACAUCAUGGCCUCUCAAGGUGGCUCUAUGUUUUUCUUUAGCUCUAAGAUAGCACUUGGCCAUGCCUCAAAGGUGCCCUGGAUCCCCUGGAUCUGUCUCUCAGGAGUCUCUUCCUAGGAUUCUUUCCUAUAAGAAUUGGGGUUGUACACAGUAGGUUAUAAACAGCUCAGAUCACUCCCCUUGCAGAUUAGGGAGAAGAUACUCAGGUGCUUAGCUUCACCUCUGUCUGGCCAUGUCUCCUGACUAGCCACCUCUUUCCCAAUACUGUUCUUUGGGCAGUAAUUGAAACUGGUCCUCAAGAUCUGCUGUUGUCUUAAUCCAUUUUCUGCUGCUCUAACAUAAUACCUGAACCUGGAUAAUUUGUAUAGAAGAAACCUAUUUCUUCUAGUUCUAGAGGCAGGGAAAUCUAAGACCCAGAUACUAGUAUCUGGUGAGAGCAUUCUCUCUGCAACACAGCAUGACAGAUAACAUCUCAUCACAGAAAGCAUGUAGCUCUCCUCCUCAUCUGCUAAAGCUCCUAUGGUCAUCAUGAGGGCCCCAGCUUAAUGACCUCAUCUAACCCUCAUUACCUCCCAAAGGCCCUACAUCCAUAUAUAAUCAACAUAAGAAUUUGGGGAUUAAGUUUCCAACAUGCGACUUUUGGGGCACAUUCAAACUAUAGCAUCUGCAUUCCCUUAGGGAUGGUUUAACAUCUGCACUGGGAACAACAUUCAGUGAAGGAGGAUCACCUACGAGCAGAGCCUGAUGUAACUGAAAGAGACCUGCAAUAAAGUUGAUCUUACAUGGUGGCUAGUGGUCGGCGCAGUCAGCACGGAGCCAUAUAGAAAUUAGAACUCUAUGGUGAACGGUUCCUGAAAGUGACUGUAGUAUUACUUUAAAACAAGUCAGUCAAAUUAUUUUUUUCUAUUCUCACUUGGUGGGUUCUUGAGUUGUAAUCUAUGGUCAGAGCUAAAGUUUUCCUUGGCAUCAUGAAUAGUUUUUAUCCUCACUCUGUUCCUAAUCCUCAUAUCCACUGAUUCUCACAUAUAUAAAAAAGAUAGAGGUUGGUGCUUUUGCUAAACUAAUGAUGGGGACACUUACCAACCCUGCUGCGGUCCAGAAAUGGUGUUCCUAUGCUUCUCCAAAAAUUUGCUGAUGAUUCUAGUUUCGUCUGUAUCUCUCUCUUUCUCAUAAGCUUCUCUCUCUCUCUCUCUCUCUCUCUCUCUCUCUGUCUCUCUCUGUCUCACACACACACACAAACACACACACACACACACACACACACACACCGGAUCCCCUCAUGACAUCCCAGUUUCAAGAACAUGGACCAUGAAGCUGCAGAUGGUCUGUUGACAGGGUCAGAACUGGGAAGAUCCCCUCUGUCUCCCACCUCGGCCCUCAGCUGGGUCUGUUCCUUUUCCUUGAAGGGUUAAGGUCCUGCAGUAACUAAGGGGGGCCCAGAGUGGCCAGCACUGGCCAGCACUGGCCCUGACUCAGAGCAGUGUGUGGGCCCCUGCUACAUCCUGUUGUGAGGAGUCUGCUCUAAUCCCCAGGCAGGGAAGGAAGUCAGGAAAGGGAAACAGCAUGGGGUUUAGAGAAAAGACUGGCCCUUGCUCCUUCCUGUGUGACGGUUUUCCUGGGCCGCUGUCAGUUCCCUAGGAGCAGUGUGUGCUGUUGAGGAGCCAUCUUGGUCAGUGCCAGAGAUCAAAGGAAAGGUAAUUUAGGCAGCACUAAAAAUAGGUCCUGGAGUUAUUUUAGAGCUGUUUUGCUAGCAUUGGAGGAGCAAAUCUUGGAUUUUGCUCAACUUCCUGUCAAUCUCAUGAGCUUCUUCCUCCCUCCUGCUUACUCCCUAGUCUAGUGGUGUUCAAAGGCUUCUGACUGUGACUGCAGUUGUUUUACAUUCAGACUUUGUACACGUAGAGGUGCACACACACAAGACUGAAAAGAACCUUGAAACCUUUGGUUAGGGCUCACUUAGUGAAACCAAUGACCCAACACUAGCAUUUCACACCCACAGUUUGAAAGCAUUAGCCUUCCUUUUUCCUUGGCCUUGAUGAAUGCUCGAACUACCCAGUUAUAUGCCCUGGUAAAAGCCACCUAGAUAUUAUAGAGCACCCCACUUUCUUUUUAAUUCAUAGAAAGAACAUUGGUUAAUAAUCUCUGAUUUCCUGAAGUUGUGUGAUUUGGUCUCUUCUUCCUUUAAAAAGAAGCACCUGUAGUAUUUCCCAGGCCAGUCUGGCUUGAGACUCAAAAUGUCAAAUUUAACACCCUAAACCCUCUGCGGGUAUAGCUAUGGCAUUGUGGGAAAAGAUGAGCUUUGGAGGUGGACAAGUAAAACCCCGCCCUCCCACGCAGGAGGUGUGUGACUUCCUCAGCUUCCCAGUCCUCCGUUUCCCUAUCUGCAUGUGAGGAUGAUUCUUUCAUAUGGUUGUAUGGGAGUUAGGUAUGACAAUGGCCAUGAAGUCCUUACCCAAAUGUUUGGCACACAGCAAGUGCUCAAAUUGUAGUGAUUCAAAUUGUUGCUGUAAUAAUUCAAACCAAGAGAAAAGUCAUUCAAAGAUUUAUCUGACUUGAAGUUCCUUGGUGAUCAAAAUAACUGUGUAGUUGCCAAAUCUUCCUUUCCUCUGCCUCUUCAAAAGCCGUCCUUGCCAAGUGUGAAAUCUCCAAUGCCACAGGAAGGCUGGGUACGAUGCCCUUGAUCAGCCACGUCUACCUGUCGUCUGGCCUGCCACAGUGAGAGUGAUCUAAAUCUCUUUGGAACCCGGUGAUAUUUUCCACCUGUACGAGCUCCGUGAAGCAGAACACCGCGCACAUUCUUUCAUUUGUACCUUCUCCAACCCUGUAACGCCUGUCCUCACUCUUCUAUUUUCUUAUCCUGGCUGCCCAGAUAGGAAAAAUUUACAGUUUUCCUUCUCUCCUCCUCUCCCCUCCCCUCCUCUUGCUUAAAUUGCUCCCCCCAUCCACCCCUCUCGUUCCUCCCCACUUCCCUCUCUUCUUCUGUUUUCUCCCCCCUUCCCCUCCCCUCCCCUCUCAUUUCUUUCUUUUUUUUUUUUAACUGUGGGUAGGUGGGUGGGUGAGUGACCUUCCCCUUACUAAACUUCUUUGCAGUACAGUUUUAUCAACCUCACCUCCUUGAUUUAGAAUGUUACCACUUGCAGAGUAUUUUCAGAUCUCCUUGGUCCUCGUGUGUAUCUGGGGUUUGAUAGCCAAGUACAAUGCCUAUUCUACAGAUUUAGGAAGACUAAAGUGACCUGCCUAAGGUCCUUCAGCUUUCACAGACAGCAGGCUCAGAGUUUCUCAUGUCAGGGCCAACAAUUUUCCCAACACACCUGUUUCUUUAACAUAGUACUGAGGAGAGCCCUUGACCUGAGAAGGGGCUAGUGGCAGCUAUUAGACAAGUAACUAGGUAUGCUGGGAGGGGGGACAAUCACAGGUCAGCUGGCCCCACUUAUAGGUGUCAGUUAUUUUUGUGGAUCAUUACCAAAUAUUGCUUACAAUAAGCAUUUUUGACUCAUCCUGAUCUUUACUAUAAUUUCUAAUUAUUAUAUUUGUUUACCUACUUUUUUUUCUUUACCCAAAUAUAUGUCCCAUGUGGGAAAAGAUGAUGUUUGCUGUGUCACCUUUGUAGACACAACACCUAGCACAGUGUCUGGCACAACAAAUAUUUACUGCUUGAAAAAUAUUUCUGAAUGAAUGAUGAAAUAUGCCACCUGUGGAGAGACUGGGCCAGGAAGCCUGUUUUAUUGAUGUGGCUUACCUAAUAGCCGUGUUCUUUGACCUGGAUAAUAUUAAUGCUUUGACUUAUGCACACAAAGGCAGUGGGGAAUUUGAGGUAAUUAUGUGAGUAAUUUGAACAGAAUGGACCACCCACUCUGACCCUAAUUAUCUGGUUAUUUUAGGUGAAAGUAGCUUAAGACCUGAAGAACUGGAAUGAUUGCCUCAUCUCUCCAUUUCAUUUUAUUCUUACAGUUCCAGCUGCAGACAGAUGUGGAAAUGCUUUCCUGUUAAGCAUGUGAGACCUACAGCAGACACACUCAGGUGGGUACUACAGGUGUGAAUAUGUGCAUAUAUAUGCACACACCAGCAGGAAGGAGAACAGGAGUUUGGGAGAGUAACAGGAAGGAGCAAAUCAGUUCACUUUCCACCAUAAGAAACCCUCCACACCUGGCUUCCUGCAGCCUCCAGCAUACCCCUCUCUUGAGCGUGCACUGCUGGAACCAAAGAAAUUGUAAUUUGACCUUGACAAACUUGAUGAGUGCUGAACUGGAAGUUCAUGGGCCAAAAGGACUGGGCUGACCGACACAGAGCUAAAAGAGAUACAUUCUUCAGUUUUAGAUUUAAAAACAAAACAGAAAAUUUGAGCCUAAGCCAGAAAGUUUGGCUUUGUCAUGUCAGUAGUAUUUAACGAUGUUAUUUGGCUGGAGCAGCAAGUUCUGCAAAUGAAAAACAACUUGGCCUCUUUUCUCCCUUCUUUCUUUUCCCUGUUGGUUCCCAGCUCAGUCCCUCACUCUCCUGAAGCUUCACCUCUGUAGUCUAAAGGCACCUGGGACAAGGAAACCCCCAUGUGCACUGGAUACCAAUCCAGCCCACAGCCUGCUCCCUGCUGUGAUGCUUGCUUCUGAGGGACCCAGAUGUCCUGGUUAUCCAUUCUGACAAGAAUGGUGUUGGGGUGGGUCAGAGUAGUGUCCUCUCAUUUUCAGGAAGGAGAAAUGGGGGUUCAAAAAAGAAAAGAAAUGGAAGGGCAGGGGACACGGUACUUACUAUCUAUUGACUAGUUGCUCUGCAUGAGUAUUUGAAGUUCAAACAUCCCUGAGAGAUGGUUAUGGUAGGUAAUAAUAUCCCCAUUUUAGAGAUGAGAAAAUUGAAGCUCACAGGGGUUAAGUGUUCUACUGAAGGUCACCUGAUCGGUGGGUGGCCAAAUCUUUUGUAUUCAAAAAAGUCAACCAUGUGUAGGGAAAUGAUUGGCUCUGAGUCAGUGAGGCGUUUGAGGUCCAUAGCAAAAUGUCUCUAGCCUCCAUUUGUUCUCAGCUUGGAACAUUUGCUGAGGAUUUCUUCCUCAGGCCUCAUUCAUCUCUUUCUUCCUCAAAGAUUUCCUUGAUUCCCUAAGCCAGAAAGAAUCACUUCCCUCUGUCCCUUCCAUGUAUCUAUUAAUUAUCACCUGUGUUGAAGCAUCAGUCAGGUGUGACUUGUGGUGUGGUUGCUGGGGUAUCCCCAUCUUGAGAAGGCCAAGGUUUAUGGAGACAAGGUGUGAGUACCAGGGAAAAGGAGACUUCUCCACUCCCAGGCUUACCAGCACACUUAAAACCUAGAGUCUGUGAUUUCUGUGCUUUCGUGGGUCUUGCUAAACUGGGGCCUAACCACAUGGCACUUGGGUGCUAGCAAAAAGCCUCUAUCCUAUUGGGAAACAUGGAGGACAGAGGAGAGUGGAGUGGGAUAUGGGCUCUGAGCUCCCCCAAAGCAGGGUGUGGGUCUGCUCAGAAGUGGUAUCAACUGAAUAAAUGAAUAACAAUUUGCUGUCGCUACUCUCAUAAGCCACCUCGUUAGUCCUGCGUCAUAAAAGCCACGGGAAGAGGGUAGGGUAAAUAUCAUUCCCCAACUCCCUCUGUGUUUAGCCUAAGCAUGACGGUGUGAUCGGGCACUGGCUGCUCUUCCAAGGCCUGCCUGGGUCACCAGCCCUGCCUUUUUGCCUACUUUGCAUGGCAUCUGGGAGCUGCACAGCUAAGGUCUGACCUCUCUGCCUCUUGGCCUACCUCUGGUGGCUCUGUGCUGCAAUCUCCUUGGUGUGACCCUCCACCUUGCUGAGAAGAUAACACAGAGAGAACAGACCACAGGGUGGCCCAGGGCCUUAGUCCUUUUCUCAAGCUAAGAAGGCCUAACAGAAGUGGCAAAGGUGUGCCCAAGCCUGCAGCUCUGGCCGUGGCUCUCCACAAAAACUAGCUUAUCCUAAGUUGAAUCCAGGGAACAAAGUGGUGUGUGUGUGUGAGAGAGAGAGAGAGAGAGAGAGAGUGUGUGUGUGUGUGUGAGAGAGAGAGAGAUUUUACACACAUGUGCAUCCAUAGGAGCCUCAUAGUAUUUAGACAGACUAGAAUUUUCCUGGACAGAGUUUGAGGUUCUCUCCAUUUUAUAAACAGGCGAACAGUGUAUUUUAAUUUACCUGAAACAUGGGACAACAAAAAAAAAUGCAGGCACAACCUUCAGCCACCCAGGAGGAGGGGUCCUUGCUCAGCUGUUUCCUCUCUUCUUCCUAAAAGCCCUCUUCCACGGCCCUGUGUUCUGGAUCCCUUCCUUUGCUCACCUGGAGCAUCCCUCCUGUCCCCACAGCCCGUGUUAGAAACUAAGCAGAAGGUAUCUUUGAGGAAGUAAAGAUCCUGCUCAAGAUCUAGCAUCCCCAUGUGUGAGUCCCUCCCUGCCCUCCACGGGGCGCUGCCUAUCCCAGCAGGCACACAUCUACCUAAAUGACACUUGUGCCCUGAGUGCUCUUUCUCAUGUCACUUUGCAACAAACCCAAGUGGGGAUGACCUCCUUGCCUGCACUGUACAGGUGAGAAGCCUGAGGCUCAGGGAAGUCAAGCCCUUGUUCAUGGCCCUCACUCAGCUCAUUCCCAUCAGCAGUGGGAUUGGACUCUCAGCCUUCCUGAUCUCUAGUUUACAUUUUGGCCCGGUGGGCUGUAGACUGCUUCAGAGUAGAUGCACAGUGUCCCAGGAUUCUCCAGGCCCUCUGGGCCCUGAGUGACCUGGCAGGAGGCCCAGGGCUGCGUGUCUCCCUCUACCUCCUGUCCGCACUCCAGAAGCACCAGCCCAAGCUGAUAAGCAUGGCAGGUGCUUGUGAUGUGCCUCUGACACCACUGGAGCCCUCUGAGGAGUCAGCUUGUGGGUGUCUGCAGAAUCCAGUGCCCCUCCCUCACCUUGGAAGGGGCUCCUUUGACACCAGGACCACCGGUUCCUCUAGAGCAAGUGGCCCCAAAGAGCUCUGGCUCCCGGCUGUCAGCACCAGCAAUCCUACCCAGGAGCUAAGCCCUGGCACUUCCCAGGUCUGCAAGAGGCCAGGAUUCCUUUCCAGAAAACACUUCAUCUCUCUCUAAGUCCAGGGCCUGUUCCCUGGCCAGUGUCUUCAUAGUUCAGAUUCCUGUAACUUGAAGAGGUUGGUGCCGUGAGCACUGGACUUUCCAGCCGAGUUCCAUGAGUAAGGUGACACCUUUCCAUUAAAUGCCAGGUCCUUGAGUCCUUUCAGCCACUAAUGAAUUAGAGGAACUCUCCCCAAAUUCUGGUGGCCUGUGAUCCCACAGAGAUACUGCAGGUGUCUCUAUCAAAGGAGCUUCCAUCACAGAUGAGCUGGAUGGAAUAAAACCCUGGGGCCAAGGGUUCCAGAACUGGAUGGAAAGGGAAUAAGUGAAAGUUGGCAGUGAUGAUGCAGGACCUGGGGAACUGGCCUCAACGGAUGCAGGAGUAUCUGCACCUGACACACAUGAGGAGUGUCAUCUUACAUGGGGUACUUUCUAAAACCAGUGCAUAAGAAAAUGUGGUAUGGGAUCUUCCUCACCUCUUCCUUCUGAUGGAGCAGUCUUGCAUUAAGAUGGACCAGCCACUGUUUCCAUCAGCAGGGGAACUGAUGCUGUCAUUUUGUGUGAACAUGCAAUGCAGUGAUUACCUUACACAUAGGGACCAUGUGUUGUGACAAGCAUGUACCUUUAAGCACUAGACCUCUAAGCACUCAGUGUGGGAGCUGGGCUGACUCAGGCAGACACAUGCUUUCCUGCUCCCAGAGCAUGUGUUCACUGAUUGGAGCAGCAGCCCAGUGACCCACAGGAUUUCACCUAGUUAGUGGCCAUGUGAUAUGGUUGCACAGUGUUUACACUCUGCAUAUCCAUGCCAGGGUGUAGGCUGUGCAAAGUAGCAGGGUCAGGCAAAUGACAUAAAGAAGCUGAGAGGCUGCACCUGAACUUGAGCCCCAUGCACCUAGGCCACCUUUGGCUUCUUUCCACUUGGAUUCUUCUUCUGGUAUGGCUGUCGCUCUGUUUUACACAGGGAGGCAGCCUGGGUUGGUUUCUCUACAAAACAAUGAGGUUUCUCUAGUGCACUCUCGUUUUGGAGUGGCCAUCCUGCCCUGCACUGAAAGGAAUCAUUAGUUAAGGGGGUCAUUAAUCCUACAAACUGGAGGCAGACGUCUCCUCCCUGGUGUAGAAAGAGGGACAACAGGUGAGCCACUGGUGUGAUUCUAUCUGUCAGAGCAAAUGGACAAGUGGUAGGGGAAAGGCCUGGGGCACUUUAGAUGACAAAGCAAUAGCUGAGACAGAAGAACUAAGUAGCCCAAAAGGCUUUUGGCUGGGAAAAUGAAGGGGAGCCCCAGAACUAAGGAAGCUGUCAUUGAAACAGAGGAGAUAAGGGAAAGGGCACCUAAUUGUACCUAGAUUGCAAUAAUCUGAAAAUUUUUCUUCAAAUGACUGGGUUUUUUUUCCCCCUUCUGGAAAACCAUCUGAAAGCAGAAGUAACAAGUGUUCUGCAAAUAUUUAUACCAGCAUCUUAAAAUUCAUGACUUUUUAUGAUAAAAGUAGUACAAUGUUUGAUAUGAAAAAGGAAAAUAUCAAAGUAAUAGAUAACCAACAAAGGGAAAGCCUUGUACAAUUCCACCAUGCUGGAAAAAAAAAUUCAGCGGUUUAGGGUGUUUAUAAUAGGAUUUUAACCAAUCAUUUGUUUAUAUAGUAGAGACAUGUGCAGAAGGGCAGCAGUGUUUGAGCUUGCCUUCUACCAUCUGUCUGGAGAGAACUCUGCCAGCCUCUUAAAAAACAGAGUUCCACCAUCCACCUGAUGGCAGCUUCCUGCAUUUUCUGAUAUGGAAUGGAGUCCCCAAGCCCUGGGUUGCCUUUCCAAGUCAGUAGUAGCAAUGUCACCUUGUACACUUCUCACUGGUGAUUGGUAUGAUGUCUGAGAUGAGGGACAAUAUAUUGUAAUAUAACAAUAAAUAUAUGCUUGGGCUCAAAGAAUUUUUUUUUUGAGGUAGUUCAGAUUUGGCCUAGGGUCUCACACAUGCUAGACAAAUGCUCUACCACUGAGCUGCAUCCCCAGCCCUAUAUGUUUGGUUUCUGCCUCCUGGUUCUUGACACAGAGCUCCUAAGUCCCUUGUAAAAUGCUCCUUGUGCUAAGAGAAACUUGUUCUGAUAGUUGUUUUUUCUUUUUGACACUUUAUAAUGAACAUAUAGAGUCUAUACAUUAUACAUUGUCUGUUGAUCAAAUCAAGGUAGUUAGCAUCUCCAGCAUGUCAUGUAUUUAUCAUUUCUUUGUGAUGAGUACUUUCAAAAACCUCUCUUCCACUGUUUCAAAAUAUGCGAUACCUUUUGAUACAGAGUUCCUAAACCCCUUGGAAUUUCCUGCGUGACAGGAGCAACUUUUGUUCUGCUGACAUGACUCUUAGUGGGCUCCUGAAGAGCCUCAGAAUGGGGGCUGGUGGUCAGAGGAACCAACCAUGUGAUUAGAUGGUUGGAGAUUUCAGCCUCAUCUCAAUCCACCUCCACCUCCAUGUGGGGGUAGGGCUGAAGGUUGAGUGGAUCUCCAAUGGUCAAUGAGUGAAUCAUCAUGCCUCUGUAAUGCUGCCUCCAUAAGCACCCCCAAAGGAUUGAAUUCACAGAGCUUCAAGACAGCUGAACACGUGGAGCUAUCUGGAGGAGGCAGAAAGGGUGACAGCUUCAUGCCCCUUCCCACAUGCUUUACCCUCAGCAUCUCUUCCAUUUGGCCGCUCAUCUACAUGAAAUAAAUGGUAAGCAUGAGUGUUUCCCUGAGUACAUGAGUUGCUCAGGGAAGUAUAAAUGAAUUGAACCCAAAGAACGGGGUGUGUGGGAACCUUGAUUUAUAGCCAGUUGGUCAGCGGUUGAGGUGACAAAUUAUUAUUUGCCACUGACAUGGCAAGUUGGGAGCAGUUUUGCAGGACUGAGCCCUCCACCUCUGGGAUCUGGUGCUACCUCCCAGUAGAUAGUCAGAAUUGAAUUAAAUUAUAGGCCAGGCAAUUGGUGUCCACUGGAAAAAUUGCUGGUUUGGUGUGUGGGGACACAGCCCCCACACAGCUGGUGACAGAAGCACUAUGUGACAGCUGAUUUUUCUCAUCUCAUCCGGGUCCUUCCCCAGGACUGCUCCAGGUGAGCAGCAUCACUACAAACGCUGCCUUGUCCUGAAGGCUCAAGGAUGGGCAGCCCACCCUUGCUCACCCCUUCUCUAUUGUUGUCUCACAGAAAGAGGCAUCAGGAGACGCAUCCUAUCCAAAGAGUUUAAAUACAUUUAAGUCCUUCACCAUGAGGUUAAGCGACUCACUCAAGGUUACACAGCUAGUAAAUGGGAGAGGCGAUUCUGAAGUCCAUCUCUGGCUGACAGAUAUUAGAAGACUUUGGUGUUACAAGUUACACACUUAGGAUAGCUGCUUCACCUCCCUAUGGUGAUGACCCCCACAGCAAGAAGGCUGGUUAUCCACCUUGGCUGUGGUUCGGAAUCACCUGAGAAGCUUAAACAAACUGAUAUCUGGGGCCUCAGACUUCACUGAUGCAGAUCGAGGUCUGGGCACUUGCCUGUGGCUCCAUGCUGGGCUGUGGGUCUGGUCCUAAGGCCCCAAACAGGGGCAGGCUCGCUGCACUGUCCAUCACGAGAAUAUAGAUGUGGUAACCCCCACAUUAUUUUAUCUCCCUAGGUCUGGUUACCCAGCUAAAAGUUCUCCUUCCUAAGAGAACAUUAGAGUCCAAAAUUGGUGACCUUAGGCAAAUGGCUUAAGCUCUCUGUGCCUCUGCUUCCUAACUAUAAAAUGAGGAUAAAACUAGUGCUUGUCUCCCAAGACAGUUGGGAGACUGAAGUGAGAUGUAACAUGCCUAGCCACCUGGAGGGCACUCUGUCUCCUUUCCCUCCUCUCCUAGGGGCACUGUCUCCAGCAACUGUGGCUUAGUGGCAUGACAUACUGUGUCUCUAAGGUCUGGGAGCCAGGAUCACACUGAAGAGGCUAGAUCAAGGGACACUAGGGUCAGGGGCUGGUGAGAGGGUUGCCUCCAUGGCCUUAUUGGCUCUUCCCAGAGUGCUCCCUGAGAUGCCCAGGUACAGGGCUGGCUUUGUAACAGGGAAAAGUACCUGCCCUACCCUGCUGCCCAACUUUUGGCAGAUGUUAGGCAACUUGCUUCUUUGAAAUAUUCAAGCACCUGAGAGCCUCAGGCAGGUUGUGGGCACUGACUCUACCCUGCGCCUUCUAGAUAGUCCAGCUCCUGACUGACACCCUCCCCCCGACUCCCACCCAACCACCUCCACCAAUACACAUCGUCUAUUUUUUCUCCCGAGGGUUGUGCUGUGAAUUACUAGGUUUUGUUGGGCUUGCCAAGGCUUGGCCCAUGGAAGGCCUGGCUUCUUCUUUGGGUCUCAAUCUCUGGCCUGUCUCUGCCUGGUGCAGCCGGCAAAGCUGGAAGGAUCUCCACCUCUGGGAAGGAGGGAGCCUGAGCCCCUUGCUUGGCUUUGCCACCUGGUUGCUUUGUGAUCUUGGGUCUGCGGUAUUGCCUCUGGAGAGGAGCUUGGAUACAAAUUCUCCUGGUUGACUUCAUGUACCUCUGUCAGGCUGGCAUGCAGAGCAGAGUUACUUCCUCAUGGCUGGAGAAAAAGCUAGGAAGCAAAUGGGCCAGGAGGUGAAUCAGAUUUCUGGGCCUUCUGGUCCAGCCUGCUGAAAAGUGCCCCACACUCUAAGCCUGGACGCCUGGUGGGCAGUCGGGCACAGCCAUGAACUGACUACCACCUUAGACAAAUCCUACAACUUCUCUGGACCUCAUUUAUACAGCUGGGCCAUAAGGCAGUUGAUCUAAAUCAAUUGUUUUCAAAAGUGAAUUAUUUAGUACACUAGUUUUGAAAGCUACUUCUCAAAAAAAAAAUUCUCCAAGAUCAAAUAUGUUUUGAGGGAUACUGUAAACUCCCCCUCUUAUGAUCACAUCUUAAUGUAUACAUCAGCUUAUUAAAGUGCCCAGAAGCCCAGUAACAAAGAGGCCAGCUCAGCUUCAUUGAUCUCAGUUCCUCUUAAACUUGUUUGACCAGGACACCUUAUUUUCCCUUUUAAUUCAUUACCAUCCUGGAGCACUAAAGUUUGGAGACAGACAAGUGAGAAAUCCAGAGUUGGGCUUCUCAAGCUUAAAAGUGCAUGUAGAACGCUGCGGUCUUAUUAAAAUGCAGAUUCCAGCUCAGCAGUUCUGGGCAAGACCUGACUUCCUUCCAAUGAGCUCCCAUGAGAUGACCAUUGGGCUGGUCCAGGGAGCACACACAGAGUCACACAGGACUGGAAUCCUAAUGCUCUUUGCACUUUCAAUAUUGGAAGCAAUCUAGAAGCUGUAAUGUGGGGACUCUGAACUCACAGAGACCUGGGAUGGGGCCCUGACUCUACCACACACUAGCAGUAUGACCUUGGGCAGUGCCCUCCCUGGACAUUGGUUUUCUCAUCUGCAAUGUUUAGACAUUCAUCACAUUUGCUCCACAGGAUUAUUUGAGGAUUAAAUAAAACUAUGCAAAUAAAAUCUAUAAGAUCCAACCCAUGAUAGGAGCAAAGUAUACCCUGGUCACCACUGAUAAUAAGAAUCCACAGCGCUGGCCUUUCUGUCUGUGGACCAACACUACCUCCAUGCCUGCCUCUGUGCCUUUCUUUGCAUUGCUGACUGCUGUCCUCAAAUCCCUUUCCUUCCCAUAUGAAAGCCAUGUCUAUUUAUGUGACUUUACUUGACCUCUCUAGCACAUUCUAGUAAUUUUUUUUUUUUUGCUUUUAGGGAAUCAGAGGAGCUGAGAGAUCAUGGCUUCUUUGAAAACCAUAGAGAAACUAUACCAGCAGACUUUAGUAAUAGCACACCUCCCUCAGGUGGAAGCCUGGUUGACAUGGGUCCUCCUGACCCUAUCCUAAGGGGGUAUUGAUUGACAGGUGAGGCACAAGGGCUUGCACUAAUCAUCACCUUACUCUGGACAUAAACCCUGCCAACUGUUCUUGAAUCUGUGUCACACACAACUACUGUGAGAAUAUGACUCAUUUUAUUCACUUUUGUGUUCCUCCAUAAGUGUAUCUGCAAAUGAAUUGUAUGAAAACCUUUAUAUAAAUAUGUUCACAUGGUUUUAAAAAAAUUCUUUGUCAGCCAGCAAGGACUAUAUUUGGGCUCAAACUCCCUGCUUAAUUGCAAUUAUAUUUAGACAGUGGAUAAAGACCCUGACACUAAGGCUGCCCUCGAUACUGGAGGCUGAAGAAGGAAGAGUGAAAGAGGAUCAUCAUUUAUUGACCAACUCUAGGUUUGGCUCCUGGUAUUAGUCAUUUCAUUUAAGUCUCCCAGCAACCAAAUGUGGUAGGUAUUCUUAUUCAUCAAGCUCAGAAAGGUUAAGGACUUUGCCCAAGACACAUAGCUAGUAACGGUGGAGCUUCAGUUAGAGUUCAGGAUGAUUGGACAACAUUCUAACUCUAGGCUUUCUCUGCUCCAAGUCUGCUUGGCAGAAGAUGACCGCCUUCAGUUUCCAAGUUUUACCUGCUAUUGGAACACCUGGGGACAAAUUCAGUCCUCUCUCAACCUGAUCCCAGUCUUGGGUCAAAUUGCACCUCUGGACGAACCACAUGUGUCUAUAGAGAUGUGUCACACUAUACAAGCAAGGCAGUUUCUCUCCCACCCACACAGGUGAGAGUAGGAGAAAGGAGACUUAGUCACAGCCUGGGACAGGUUUGCUGUAACUGUCGGGCUGUGGUGUACUUUCAGGGCAGUAAUUGGUAAGAAAGAUAUUGAAAAGGCAGAUGAGAUGGAAAAUGUCAUCUUGACCCCAUUUCACUGUCAUUCUGGCUGCUCUCUGACCCUAUUCAGGUUAGCUCAGUCAGCUGCCCAGCCUGGAGUGGGCUGCCUUCUCUGGCUGCCUUGUCCUUCAAGAGUUCCAGGGAUGGAAACUGAUCACCUCCUUACCCCCUAUCUCUGGCCUAGAUGGAAGGUAUUCUUCCAUCUUGUUGCAGAGAAUAGUGGGUGGUAAGGAUGCUGGGCUGACUCACAGCUGCGUACAGCUGGGAGGUUCUGGACCCCUGGCUCCCUGCCACCUUGUGUCCCAUGCAUCAUUGCUCUGCCUACAUUUCCAGUGAUGGAUGGGGGAGUGAGACAUGACCCAUGUUACAGGCCUAGGUGAAAGACCAUUGGAAUUAAGACUUCCUGGAAUCUCCACAGGGUUGCAGGGUAAAACAAGGUGAAGUGCAAAUUGAUUGUCAGCCAUUCCUCCAGACUCCCAAAAAAUGAACUUGGAGAGUCUCUUCAGUGCCCACCACCAACUGGUCAUCCAGAUAGACAAACACCACUCAAAGCUGACAGCUAACAACUUGACAAUUGUCCUCUACACCAUGCCAAUGUGAGCACACUUAAUUAAUAACCUGGGAUGCCCCAUCUCCUCUCCACUCAGGGGCUCAGCGCCUGUUUCUCAGUCACCACUGCUAGCUGAGUUUUAAUUAUCUUUCGGCACUGUCGCCUCUUGGAAUGCUGGAAAGGAAAUUCUCGCCCAGCUGGGCUGCAGCCAGGCCUGUUGGAGAACAAUGUGCAUUGCAGUGUUGAUCUCUCAGCUGGAACGCCAGCCCUCAGACUGGAGAGGAGCUCUCUGCUGCCAACCCAAAGGGAGAGGGAACUCAGUGCCUUUUCAGCACUUCUGUGGCGGCAGAGCUCCUAGGACUUAAAAUAAUGACCUCCUUGACAAGUUUUUAAAUUUUGUUUUUGGGAGUGUCUCAUUGGACAAGGCCACCUGGGUCUUGGAUUAUUUUUUAAUCACACCGGGAGGAUGAUUUUUUCCCUUUAAUUGUAACACUGGUGUUUAUUGAGUAUCUACUCUGUGGCAGGCACUGUGUUACAUUGCACCACCUUAUUCAUGCCCUGCAGCUGUGUUAAGCAGGUAACAUUUCCUUCUCUUAUUUUAUAAAUGAGAAGCUAAGUCCCACUACUCUGCCCAAGGUCAUGUAGUGCCCAGCCCAAGGUCAGAUAGUAAUGAGCAGAAAAGCAGGCGGUGCUGGAAUUCAAACCCAGCAUCCUGAUCCUGGAGUCUGCCCUUUAGCCAUGACCUUCUUCCUCUGUGCUUAUUAUUGGGUAUGUAUUCAGUUCUAUGAGCCUGCCUGAGAAUAGUACUGGAAAAACACCCCCCAAAGACACUGACCUUUGGGUUUGUAGCUUUUCCCCUUUCCAUCCUGGCAACCUGUGUUCACCCCCUCCUGGGUAAUGGAGGAACUACGCAGGCUCCAGGUACUCUACCCUUCUCACCACCGUGAGUGCUCAGAGCUGGGGUUCUGUGGACAAGGGCGCAGACAGACCACUGUUUCCAGCAGGGAAUUGCUAUUUGGCUGGGAUGACAAGUUCUUGAAUGUUCUCCAGCCAUCCCCAUGGAUGUUUCAGGAAGGAGGUGGCUCAUUCCCUCUUCACCAAGAAGAGAAGAACCUGGGUACUCUAAGGACAGAGGAGUGAGCUGGACAGGUUCGCCAGUCCUGCUUCUGCAACUUAUUGUUCUUACCACCUUGACCUUGGGCCUACAAUUCUACCCCUCCACUUCCCUCUGUAUCCUUCCUCUCUAGCAUUUUCUAAGCCACAAAGCCAAGAAGCCAUUAUUUGAAAGAAACCCCUGGCCAAAUGUAUUGGGUUGGAUUAUGUUCCCCUGAAAGACAUGUCCAAGUCUCAACUCUGGCUACUUAUGAAUGUGACCUUCUUUGGAAGUAGAAUCUUUACGGUUGAAAUUAAGUUAAGGCAGUCUAGAUAAGAUCCCAGGGAACUCAUGGCUGGGUCCCAAAUCCAAUGACUAGUGUCUUUAGAAAAGAAAGAAGAGGAAAACCCAGAGGUAUACAUAGGAAAAGACAUGGGAAGGCAGAGACAGAGAUUGGAGGCAUGUCACCACAAACCAAGACACCUGGAGCCACCAGAGCUAGAAGAAGCAAGAGACUUCAUGGGGCACAGCCCUGAUAACACCUGAUUGUGGACUUCAAUCCUCCAGCACUGUAAGAGAAUAAAUUCCUAUUGUUUAAAACCACCCAGUUUGUGAUCAUUUGUUAUGGGGCCCUAGGACUCAAAUAUACUAAGGCAAGACCUCAUCAUCAGCCAGGUCACUGGAAGGCUCCGCAGAGCAGAGCCAGCUGGG
This 16564-nucleotide long non-coding RNA is filed under the name Marmota monax (woodchuck). Lineage: Eukaryota; Metazoa; Chordata; Mammalia; Rodentia; Sciuridae. The record is from RNAcentral.